UGUUUACUCUUGCAAGUGAUGUCCGCAUAGGACUCCUUCUGAUGACAAUCUACUCUCCAGAAGACCUGUAGGGGCCAAGCCUUGCCAAAUGAAGAACGUGGGCUGUCCUAACAAAAUACCACACAGAAGAUGGCUUAAGAUAACAGAAAUUUAUUCUCUCACAUUUCUGGAAACUAGAAGUCCAAAAUUAAGAUGUUGGCAGGGUUGUUUCCUUCCAUGAGGUCUGAGAGAGAAUGUGUUCCAGGCCCUUCUCCCAGCUUCUAUCAAUGGCUGACAACCGGCCAUUCUGUGGCUUAUAGAUGCACCCUUCUGACCUCUGCCACCAUCUUCACAUGGCAUUCUCCCUGUGUGUCUCUGUGUCUGGUAUCUUCCUAUAAGGGUACCAGUCCUUGGACUAGGGGUCCACCCUGUUCCAGUAUGACCUCUUCUGAGCUAACAACAUCUGCAAUGACCCUAUUUCCAAAUAAGAUCACCACGUUCUGAAGUAUUGGGAGUUAAGACUUCAACCUCUCUUCCCUGAGGGACACAAUUCAACCCAUAACAUGGAACGUUGUCAAAGCAAGCAUCUUAAAAUGACAGUGGAGCUCUAAUUGGCAGUGUAUGGUUAGAGCCAACUCUGACACCAUGGAAAUAGUGCACCAGUGCAAAAAUAAGAGACCCAUGCAAUAUACCUGAAGACAGAUGCGGGAUUCCUGGAAUCUGUUUUCUGUCUCACACCCUCAAAACCAACCAGCUACAAGUGAAACCUGCGCUGCUCCACGGAACUCAUGGAACCUUGUUCAAGGGGUACACCACAGCUGGCCACCCCCAAGGCUACGCACGCCGCACUGUCAUGAUGGAGCAGCAAGUGCUGGAGAUGACUGGGGACCCCAGCGGUCUAACCCUACUUUUCUCCACUCCAGGAAUUCCAGCUAAGGCUGCUUUCUGGAUAGAGAGACUGUCCUGGGCUCCAGCCUCCUUGGCCAACAGGCUGUCCAGAGCACUGACAGAUUAGAUUGUUCCCAUGAAACACCUCUGACAGCUCCUCAUGAUGCACUCAUGUAUGUUGUUUCUCCUGCCUCCGCCUGUGUUCUGCUUCUACUUCUCUGACUGUUCCCUGCCUCCCCCCCACCACCCCAGCUUACUUGGCUGGUUCCUGCUCUUCCAUCUACUUCCUAAGUGUUAACACUCCACAGGGGCCAGUGCUGACCUCAGUUCCUUUUGCAGGCUUUCUCUUUUACCCCUGUAGAUUGGGCAGUGAGCCCACUGCCACCCCAGUCUCCCUCUCAGCCAUUUACCCUGAACUUCAGACUACAUCUAACUCCCUCCUGGACAUGGAUGCUUCCCAGGUGCCUAGAGUUGAAAGUGUUCCUGCCUACCUCCUCCGGCUGAAUUCUUUGUCACCAAACCUGCUUUUCUGACUCAGUUAAUGGAUCUUCCAUUAACAAGUUAUCCAGCCAGAAAUUACCUUUGAUGAUUCCCUUUCCAUUACCCAAAGGAGUUUAUCAGGCAUCAUGUCCACAUUCCUUGGUGUGGUUUAUAUGGUCCCUGGUGAAUUGGUUGGUUGCCUUCCUCUCCAGCUGUAGCUCCACACCUUACCACACUUCCUGAGCCAAAUGGAAUUAUGUGUGGUUUUCUGUUUUUUUCACUUUCUUGGGCCUAUGCUCUUGCUCUUCCCUCUAUCUAUUUCCUAUACCUUCUACCUUUACAUACACUCUUUGAGGCACAACUCGAAUAUCCCUUCUUCCGUGUGCACAGAGAUGGCAUCAAUUCUGCAUAAGGGGUCAGGAAAAAGUUUACAAGUAAGUUUUUAAUGUUUAAAUGAUUUAAUGUUUUAAAUGUCUCAAGUGUUAUUAGUAAUUUAAAUUAUUAGUCAUUAGUAUAACUAUCAGACAUUUUGAUAUUAAAGUCUAGAGAAGUGGUCCUCAAAGUAGAGUAUCUGGGUCUGCAGCAUCAGCCUCCCCUGGACAGACCUACUGAGUCAGAAGCUCUGGAGGUGGGGCCCAGCAAUUUGUGUUUUAGCAAAUCCUCCAAGUGAUUCUGAUGCCUGCUAAGAUUUGAGGGCCAUUAGUCUAGAUCUGGCCUGAAGGGAAAAGGAAGAGGCCUGGUAAACUUGGUCUCUGUAGGUAGCUAAAUGGGGCUUCCCUUAACCAUAGCCUAAACUUCUCUCCUGUCCCUUCCUCAGGUUCAGCCACUAAUCUGACUGACUCACCCCAAUAUUCCAAGAUUGUUUGCUUAUCUAGUGAAAAAGACUAUAAAAUGCUCCCCAGAUGGGACAGAAAUUGUCUCAGUAUCAGAAAGUUGGUGUUUAUGGACCAGACUCUUCAUCUCUUUUUCUUUUUUCCAUCUCACUGCUAGAACUUUCCUGGUUUCAAAUGACUGGCCUUCUACUUGAUCAGUUGCUUUCCUGACUUCUCAUUCAAACUGGCCAGCACCAUAUGGCUACUUCCCAGAACGUAAAACACCAUGUCACCCAAACUGCCCAGGUUUCCCACCUCCAGACUAGCCAUGUGUGUCUGAUCCUCCCUCAUCCUACUUCCCUUCCUGUAAAGGACCUAGAGACAGAUUGUCUGGACAGAGCCUGGCUUCGUGCUUAUGUUCUAACUUGCUUUUUGAGCUUUGUCUUGCUUCUAAUCAUAAGGAAAGUAAAAUAAUUUAGUAAAAAGGAGUCAAGAACACAAGAAUAGAUUCCAGGAGGUAUGAGAGUUUAAUAUCUGACAGAGGAGAUAAUUGACUUCAGUGGGAAAGAUUUAACAUGAAACAUGAUGGUGCUGACCCAAUUAGCUACCUCCUGGACCAAAAUAUACUUGUAUCCCUAUCUCAAACAUUUGCAAAAAUGGGCUCUAGGGGCACCUGGGUGGCUCAGUUGCUUAAGCAUCUGCCUUCGGCUUAGGUUGUGAUCUCAGGGUCACGUGAUCUCCGCCAUCUCCCUCUUCUGCUCCCCCUACUUGUGCUCUCUCUCUUUCUGUCAAAUAAAUAAAUAAAAUCU
RNAcentral lists this long non-coding RNA (2968 nucleotides) under Canis lupus familiaris (dog). Its description in RNAcentral is "lncRNA (ENSCAFG00000057997.1)". The record is from RNAcentral. Lineage: Eukaryota; Metazoa; Chordata; Mammalia; Carnivora; Canidae.